This is a long non-coding RNA of Esox lucius (northern pike), 532 nucleotides long. RefSeq lists it as uncharacterized. Lineage: Eukaryota; Metazoa; Chordata; Actinopteri; Esociformes; Esocidae. The record is from RefSeq and is a predicted model, not a curated record. The transcript has 2 exons.
UCUUCUUAGUAACUGUAUUUUUCAAAAAUAAAGCAAAAGAAAUAUAUUUGCGAUGGAUCAACCACCUGCAUACAAUCUUGAAUCGGCCGCAGUGCAGGGAAAUAAGUACAUGCGUCUUCAAGACCUUCAAGUGCCCACGUUCCAACCUACCAUGGUUGUUGAACAGCAUCAGCGUGUUGUGCCUCAUCCCAGGGAUCAUAUUAUCUGGUCACUUUUCAACUUUUUCUACUGCAACCCAUGCUGUUUAGGACUGGUAGCAUUGUAUUAUUCUAUAAAGUCCAGGGACAGAAAGAUGGUUGGAGACUUGGAGGGAGCAAGACAACAUGGGAAUACCGCACGGAGCUACAAUAUUGUGAUCCUGACAUUGGCAACACUUAGUGUGGUCUUGCUCAUCAUUACUUAUGCUGUUCUCCUCUCCAGACUCCAUUAUUAAGUUGAGGAGCAUGGAGGGAUACUUUACAAAGUUUUAGGAAUGUGUGUAAUUGGCAUUACUUUCUUUUGAUAUUUUGUCUUUUAUUUAGCAUUGGUUGCU